This 320-nucleotide ribosomal RNA is filed under the name uncultured bacterium. Its description in RNAcentral is "bacterial SSU rRNA". It matches the Rfam family "Bacterial small subunit ribosomal RNA", at positions 470 to 789 of the family's 1533-position model. The record is from RNAcentral.
UGACGGUACCACUUGAAUAAGCUCCGGCUAACUACGUGCCAGCAGCCGCGGUAAUACGUAGGGAGCAAGCGUUAUCCGGAUUUACUGGGUGUAAAGGGCGUGUAGGCGGGACAUCAAGUCAGAUGUGAAAGCACGAGGCUCAACUUCGUGUCUGCAUUUGAAACUGACGUUCUUGAGUGUUGGAGAGGCUAACGGAACUCCUAGUGUAGCGGUGAAAUGCGUAGAUAUUAGGAAGAACACCAGUGGCGAAGGCGGCUUUCUGGACAGUUACUGACACUGAGGCACGAAAGUGUGGGGAGCAAACAGGAUUAGAUACCCUG